Molecule: long non-coding RNA, 453 nt
Filed under: Ananas comosus (pineapple)
Lineage: Eukaryota; Viridiplantae; Streptophyta; Magnoliopsida; Poales; Bromeliaceae
Description: long non-coding RNA (ACOM_LNC030692)
Source: RNAcentral
GCGACGGCGGCGGUCGGCGGGAAAGGUUGCCAGAGCACGGGGCGACCCCGGGGGAGGGUCUGUAGGUGGCGCAGCCCCGAGCCUCCACACAACCCGAGAGGAGAGAGGGAGAGAGAAAGAGAGGGAGAGGGAGGAAAGUGGUGGCUGUCGUGGUGGUUGGCCGGCCGAGCUCGGUCGGCGGCGGCCUGGGCGCGCGCAGCAGGUGCAGGGGAAGGAGAGGGAGGCGGCUGGGUGGUUGGCUAGGGCUAGGUUAGGGUUAGGUGAAACAAAACCCUAAAGAGCUUAUAUAUACAAGGUGCAACUUGCAAAAAGGUCCACCAAACACCGGUAAUUCAUACCGAGUCCCUCACAGCACGACUAAAAUGCACGAAUACCCCUCCACGUGCGAUCUCACACGAAACGGUACAUAAAAUAUCGCGACUUUUGCGAAAAUACCGUUUUGCCACUACCGAC